GCUCUGGGACAUCAUCCUGCAGAAGGACACAGAACGCCUCUUCCCUGACCCUUGAGCCUCACACAGGCAGAAAAGCCAGCAGCAAACUGCACGGUUCGAGAGAGGCAAUCCGAGACAGCUGGGCUCUUGCAACAGCCCGGAAAUCUGCAUGGCACCACCCUGUACUGCCCUCACAAGUACAGACCCCAGCCUGCUGUGAACAAACAUCCCGUUGCAGUAGAAGAGAAAGAAGUUUGAUUCUCAUCAGCUAGGACCAUCAAAACGCACCAAAAUGCAGAACUCCAGGGAAGAAACAGAUGCUUCAGCAAAUUUUGGGUUACAGGGUAGCAUUUGUUUUAAAAUUCUCUGCGUGGAGGAGGGAAGGGAAGACGGCUGCUUCAGAAAAGGUGUGAAGAACCUUGCCCUUCCUGAAGGUUGGCCAGACUUU
This is a long non-coding RNA of Oxyura jamaicensis (ruddy duck), 427 nucleotides long. RefSeq lists it as uncharacterized. NCBI's taxonomy places the organism in Eukaryota, Metazoa, Chordata, Aves, Anseriformes, Anatidae. The transcript has 4 exons. The record is from RefSeq and is a predicted model, not a curated record.